Molecule: ribosomal RNA, 504 nt
Filed under: Vrystaatia aloeicola
Lineage: Eukaryota; Fungi; Ascomycota; Dothideomycetes; Pleosporales; Phaeosphaeriaceae
Description: eukaryotic LSU rRNA
Rfam family: 5.8S ribosomal RNA (bases 196-349)
Source: RNAcentral
UUCCGUAGGUGAACCUGCGGAAGGAUCAUUACCUUUUCUGCCUUCGGGCAGCGGGGGGCUGUAGUUUUCUAUGGCCUCUGUCUGAAUCCGUGUCUUUUGCGUACUACAUGUUUCCUCGGCGGGCUUGCCCGCCGAUCGGACCACAUCAAACUCUUUGGAAUUGCAGUCAGCGUCUGAAAACAAAAUAAUAAUUACAACUUUCAACAACGGAUCUCUUGGUUCUGGCAUCGAUGAAGAACGCAGCGAAAUGCGAUAAGUAGUGUGAAUUGCAGAAUUCAGUGAAUCAUCGAAUCUUUGAACGCACAUUGCGCCCCUUGGUAUUCCAUGGGGCAUGCCUGUUCGAGCGUCAUUUGUACCCUCAAGCUCUGCUUGGUGUUGGGUGUUUGUCCUUUCCUUUGCGACUGGACUCGCAUUAAAGCAAUUGGCAGCGCAUAUCAAGGCCCGGAGGAGCAGCACAUUAAGCGGAGGAGCACAUCAAUAAGCGGAGGAGCAUAUCAAUAAGCG